AGACCCGAAACCCGGUGAUCUAGCCAUGGGCAGGUUGAAGGUUGGGUAACACUAACUGGAGGACCGAACCGACUAAUGUUGAAAAAUUAGCGGAUGACCUGUGGCUGGGGGUGAAAGGCCAAUCAAACCGGGAGAUAGCUGGUUCUCCCCGAAAGCUAUUUAGGUAGCGCCUCGUGAAUUCAUCUCCGGGGGUAGAGCACUGUUUCGGCUAGGGGGCCAUCCCGGCUUACCAACCCGAUGCAAACUGCGAAUACCGGAGAAUGUUAUCACGGGAGACACACGGCGGGUGCUAACGUCCGUCGUGAAGAGGGAAACAACCCAGACCGCCAGCUAAGGUCCCAAAGUCAUGGUUAAGUGGGAAACGAUGUGGGAAGGCCCAGACAGCCAGGAUGUUGGCUUAGAAGCAGCCAUCAUUUAAAGAAAGCGUAAUAGCUCACUGGUCGAGUCGGCCUGCGCGGAAGAUGUAACGGGGCUAAACCAUGCACCGAAGCUGCGGCAGCGACACUGUGUGUUGUUGGGUAGGGGAGCGUUCUGUAAGCCUGUGAAGGUGUGUCGUGAGGCAUGCUGGAGGUAUCAGAAGUGCGAAUGCUGACAUAAGUAACGAUAAAGCGGGUGAAAAGCCCGCUCGCCGGAAGACCAAGGGUUCCUGUCCAACGUUAAUCGGGGCAGGGUGA
RNAcentral lists this ribosomal RNA (674 nucleotides) under Salmonella enterica subsp. enterica serovar Enteritidis. Its description in RNAcentral is "partial 23S ribosomal RNA". It matches the Rfam family "Bacterial large subunit ribosomal RNA", at positions 711 to 1382 of the family's 2925-position model. The record is from RNAcentral. Lineage: Bacteria; Pseudomonadati; Pseudomonadota; Gammaproteobacteria; Enterobacterales; Enterobacteriaceae.